GCACCGUCCAGCUCGGGCGCCAGGCGCUGUUGCCGCCGGGGCUGGCCAGGCAGGACCUGUGGAUCAUCCAGCAGAUGGCGCA
This 82-nucleotide transfer RNA is filed under the name Cupriavidus laharis. Its description in RNAcentral is "tRNA-Asn". Lineage: Bacteria; Pseudomonadati; Pseudomonadota; Betaproteobacteria; Burkholderiales; Burkholderiaceae. The record is from RNAcentral.